Molecule: ribosomal RNA, 397 nt
Filed under: uncultured bacterium
Lineage: Bacteria
Description: bacterial SSU rRNA
Rfam family: Bacterial small subunit ribosomal RNA
Source: RNAcentral
ACGCCUAACACAUGCAAGUCGAACGCAGUAGCAAUACUGAGUGGCAAACGGGUGAGUAUAAUGUGGGAAUCUGCCUUUUGGUUUGGAAUAACACGGGGAAACUUGUGCUAAUACCGAAUAAGCCCUUACGGGGAAAGUUUUAACGCCGAAAGAUGAGCCCGCACUUGAUUAGCUAGUUGGUAAGGUAAAAGCUUACCAAGGCAACGAUCAAUAGCUGUUCUUAGAGGAAGACCAGCCACAUUGGGACUGAGACACGGCCCAGACUCCUACGGGAGGCAGCAGUGGGGAAUCUUGCACAAUGGGGGAAACCCUGAUGCAGCGAUGCCGCGUGAGUGAAGAAGGCCCUUGGGUUGUAAAACUCUUUCGUCGGGGAAGAAAAUGACUGUACCCGAAUAAG